AGGGAUUUAGCUCAGUGGCAUGAGCACCUGCCUGGCAAGCAGAAUGUUGUGAGUUCAAUCCUCG
Molecule: transfer RNA, 64 nt
Filed under: Cavia porcellus (domestic guinea pig)
Lineage: Eukaryota; Metazoa; Chordata; Mammalia; Rodentia; Caviidae
Rfam family: tRNA
About the family: Transfer RNA (tRNA) molecules are approximately 80 nucleotides in length. Their secondary structure includes four short double-helical elements and three loops (D, anti-codon, and T loops).
Source: Rfam by way of RNAcentral